RNAcentral lists this transfer RNA (72 nucleotides) under Plestiodon tunganus. Its description in RNAcentral is "tRNA-Leu". It matches the Rfam family "tRNA". Rfam says of the family: Transfer RNA (tRNA) molecules are approximately 80 nucleotides in length. Their secondary structure includes four short double-helical elements and three loops (D, anti-codon, and T loops). Lineage: Eukaryota; Metazoa; Chordata; Lepidosauria; Squamata; Scincidae. The record is from RNAcentral.
ACUUUCAAAGGAUCAAAGUUAAUCCAUUGGUCUUAGGAGCCAAAGUUCUUGGUGCAACCCCAAGUGAAAGUA